RNAcentral lists this long non-coding RNA (260 nucleotides) under Nicotiana benthamiana. Its description in RNAcentral is "long non-coding RNA (NBEN_LNC033371)". The record is from RNAcentral. Lineage: Eukaryota; Viridiplantae; Streptophyta; Magnoliopsida; Solanales; Solanaceae.
UUGUAAAAGGGAGACUUUCAUUUUCUCUCUCGGAAGUUCGAGAGCCUCCUCUCAUCUCAACAUCUCUCACCUCCAUUUUUAUUUUUCGAUUGGGAUGUUUUCAUGGUAUCAGAGCGGACGAUCAUCCGACAAUUCUCUGCUAUAUCUUGUUAUCCUAGUCGAAAUCGCGUUGGAAAUUUUUCGGGUAUGUGUGAGAUAUUUGGUCAGUGAUGAUCUCGAUAUGAAUCGAGUGUUAAUCUGAGACUUUUAUCACCAUUAAC